Molecule: long non-coding RNA, 251 nt
Filed under: Lathyrus oleraceus (garden pea)
Lineage: Eukaryota; Viridiplantae; Streptophyta; Magnoliopsida; Fabales; Fabaceae
Description: Pisum sativum (pea) long non-coding RNA (PSAT_LNC001228)
Source: RNAcentral
AUUGGGGGAAUAAUAAAAAGCUAUACCUAAGAGAAACAUUUUCCAUUACUGUUAAAACCCGAUAAACUUGAAAGAUGACCGGUGACUCGAAAAAUGGUUUUACUUGAACGCCUGUGACACUCAAUUGACUGGGAUGCCAUGUUGGUGCCGACAGUUUCAGAGUUCCUUAACAGACAAAGGUUCCCUAAAAGUAGUGUUGGCCUCACUUAGAUUUCACGGCAAUUAUUUUCCAAUCAUCGAUGACGAGUCAG